RNAcentral lists this ribosomal RNA (759 nucleotides) under Lepraria xerophila. RNAcentral describes it as "SSU rRNA". It matches the Rfam family "Bacterial small subunit ribosomal RNA", at positions 370 to 1151 of the family's 1533-position model. The record is from RNAcentral. Lineage: Eukaryota; Fungi; Ascomycota; Lecanoromycetes; Lecanorales; Stereocaulaceae.
GUAUAGCAAUAGCUGAUUGCACCAACAAAUGGUUGAUGCAAUAUUGACUCUGUCAAAUAAAAUUCUAGGUAGAAUUAUGAUAAUGACAUUGUCUGCCUAUAUGUCUUGACCAAAUUACGUGCCAGCAGUCGCGGUAAUACGUAGAAGACUAGUGUUAUUCAUCUUUAAUAGGUUUAAAGGGUACCUAGACGGUAAAUCAAGCCUUCACAGGGACUAAUUUACUAGAGUUACUUACGAGGGGGUAUUAAAGUACUGCAGGUGUAGAGAUGAAAUUCUGUCAUACCUCUUUUCAAAAGAAAAAUUAUGGCACAGGUAUAGGUGAAAGCAUCCCCUUAUGUGAUAACUGACGUUGAAGGACGAAGGCUUUGUGUCGCGAACAGGAUUAGAUACCCCAGUAGUCAAAGCAGAAAAUGAUGAAUGUCAUAGAUUAGAUAUAUAGUUUAUUCUAUAAAUGAAAAUGUAAGCAUUCCACCUCAAGAGUAAUUUGGCAACAUUGGAACUGAAAUCAUUAGACCGUUUCUGAAACCAGUAGUGAAGUAUGUUGUUUAAUUUGAUGAUCCGCAAAAAACCUUACCACAAUUUGAAUAUUUGUAUCUAUCUUUUUUUUCGUAAAAAAAUAAAAAGGUAAUAUAUUUACAAGCGUUGCACGGCUGUCUUCAGUUAAUGUCGCGAGACUUUGGUUAGUUCCAUUUAAUUAACGUAAACCCUUACUUUAUUUUUAUAUGAAGUAGUUCCCCGCUAUAUUGGAUAUGAUAACAG